Pseudopipra pipra is the source of this 618-nucleotide long non-coding RNA. RefSeq lists it as uncharacterized. NCBI's taxonomy places the organism in Eukaryota, Metazoa, Chordata, Aves, Passeriformes, Pipridae. The transcript has 3 exons. The record is from RefSeq and is a predicted model, not a curated record.
GGAUGUCCUGUGGUCUCCCACCUGAAUCUGAGGAUGUUGUCACAAAAGGCUGCUGAGCCCAAAUGGCACAUUGGGCACAGAGAUGCACAGGACGCUGGGCUUUGCUGCUCCCCGGGGUUUCUCUUCCCCCUCCCCUGGGUGCCUUUGGGUGCAGGAAGGCACUACCAGGAGCUUUGCCUCCAGAAAAGGGUGAGGAGAAUGGGCCCAAAGCAUCUCCCUCCACAGCGGUGCUGUUGCCCUUGAAGGCAGCAGGGCGAGCACAGCAUGACUUCGGUGGUGGAAAAUGAGCAAUGUGCAAGUGCAUCAACACAGGGCACUGAGAAAGCAGCAAAUGUUUUCAUGCAAUGAUCUGUCUGAUGAUUUGACAAAUCGUUUCCUUCAGUGAAAAAGUUUCCAGUUUGAUGACGACAAUGCCCAGACUGAAUGCCAGGCCAGGAAGGCAGGUGACAGCAGUGGAAAACCAGCUACAGUUACACUAGGAGCUGCCAUCAGUGGUACCUGGGAUACAGAGACCCUAUGAGGAAAUGAUCUCUCCGUGUGCUGAACCUGUUUGGAAGUGUAUGGAAAAUAAACAGCUUUGGUCAUGCCAGGUUUAGUUGGGCAUGCUUUCCCUUUCAA